RNAcentral lists this ribosomal RNA (406 nucleotides) under uncultured bacterium. Its description in RNAcentral is "bacterial SSU rRNA". It matches the Rfam family "Bacterial small subunit ribosomal RNA", at positions 32 to 419 of the family's 1533-position model. The record is from RNAcentral.
AUUCAACGCUGGCGGCGUGCCUAACACAUGCAAGUCGAACGCGAAAGCCCUUUCGGGGGUCAGUAGAGUGGCGUCCGGGUGAGUAACACGUAGGUAAUCUACCUCUGGGUGGGGAAUAACUCGUCGAAAGGCGAGCUAAUACCGCAUAAUGCAGCGGCACCGAAUGGUGAUUAGUUGUUAAAGCGGGGGACCGAAAGGCCUCGCGCCUAGAGAGGAGCCUGCGGCAGAUUAGCUUGNGGUGAGGUAAUGGCUCACCAAGGCUUCGAUCUGUAGCUGGUCUGAGAGGACGGCCAGCCACACUGGCACUGACACACGGGCCAGACUCCUACGGGAGGCAGCAGUGGGGAAUUUUGGGCAAUGGGCGAAAGCCUGACCCAGCAACGCCGCGUGAGUGAUGAAGGCCUGG